Molecule: ribosomal RNA, 494 nt
Filed under: Ligilactobacillus salivarius
Lineage: Bacteria; Bacillati; Bacillota; Bacilli; Lactobacillales; Lactobacillaceae
Description: bacterial SSU rRNA
Rfam family: Bacterial small subunit ribosomal RNA
Source: RNAcentral
AACGCUGGCCGGCGUGCCUAAUACUUGCAAGUCGAACGAAACUUUCUUACACCGAAUGCUUGCAUUUCACCGUAAGAAGUUGAGUGGCGGACGGGUGAGUAACACGUGGGUAACCUGCCUAAAAGAAGGGGAUAACACUUGGAAACAGGUGCUAAUACCGUAUAUCUCUAAGGAUCGCAUGAUUCUUAGAUGAAAGAUGGUUCUGCUAUCGCUUUUAGAUGGACCCGCGGCGUAUUAACUAGUUGGUGGGGUAACGGCCUACCAAGGUGAUGAUACGUAGCCGAACUGAGAGGUUGAUCGGCCACAUUGGGACUGAGACACGGCCCAAACUCCUACGGGAGGCAGCAGUAGGGAAUCUUCCACAAUGGACGCAAGUCUGAUGGAGCAACGCCGCGUGAGUGAAGAAGGUCUUCGGAUCGUAAAACUCUGUUGUUAGAGAAGAACACGAGUGAGAGUAACUGUUCAUUUCGAUGACGGAUCUAACCACGCAAGUC